Molecule: long non-coding RNA, 449 nt
Filed under: Vulpes vulpes (red fox)
Lineage: Eukaryota; Metazoa; Chordata; Mammalia; Carnivora; Canidae
Description: lncRNA (ENSVVUG00000028052.1)
Source: RNAcentral
CAGCGAUGCACCUGACUAUUGUUUGGGUUGGGCUUUGUUGUUCCCAUUCUGAGGGAUGUUUUUCAACCUUGAAUCUUUCCAGUGACUAUGAAUCUGGGGCCGGAUUUACAGCUUUACUUAUUCAGCAUCUGCUCAGGUUUGGCCAGCGCCGGUGGACGUGCUGGUUUGCUUCCACGCUAACCCGUCGGGUUAUUACGGUACGAACAGAACGGCGCUUUCUUCUUCCUACUGCUCUACUUAGUUCUGCGUUUCAGAAGGGCCGUCGGGUGCGCAGAUACUCUUCGAAGGACGGCAGCACGCCCGCCCGUGGCCGCCGCGGUGGUGUCCCACUUCAACGACUGCCCGGACUCCCACAGCCAGUUCUGCUUCCAUGGAACCUGCAGGUUUCUGGUGCAGGAGGACAAGCCCGCGUGCGUCUGCCACUCCGGGUACGUCGGGGCGCGCUGUGA